CCUACGGGGGGCAGCAGUAGGGAAUAUUGCUCAAUGGGGGAAACCCUGACGCAGCAACGCCGCGUGGAGGAUGAAGGUUUUCGGAUUGUAAACUUCUUUUGUUAGAGAAGAAAAUGACGGUGUCUAACGAAGAAGAACCGGCUAACUCCGUGCCAGCAGCCGCGGUAAUACGGAGGGUGCAAGCGGUAUUCGUAAUCACUGGGCGUAAAGAGCGAGUAGGCGGGAUAGCAAGUCAGAUGUGAAAUCCUAGGGCUUAACCAUAGAACUGCAUUUGAAACUGUUAUUCUAGAGUAUGGGAGAGGUAGGUGGAAUUCUUGGUGUAGGGGUAAAAUGCGUAGAGAUCAAGAGGAAUACUCAUUGCGAAGGCGAUCUGCUAGACCGUAACUGACGCUGAUGCGCGAAAGCGUGGGGAGCAAACAGGAGUAGAUACCCUUGUAGUC
This 440-nucleotide ribosomal RNA is filed under the name uncultured bacterium. Its description in RNAcentral is "partial 16S ribosomal RNA". It matches the Rfam family "Bacterial small subunit ribosomal RNA", at positions 338 to 795 of the family's 1533-position model. The record is from RNAcentral.